UUAACGAGAACGAUAUUUAUUUAUAGCUAUCGUUAUCGUUCUUGGUGUGAAUGGGCCUUUAGGGUCUCCAGGUUCUUCCUUGUUUCUAGUGUUCCAGGUUCUUUCCUGGCUCUAGUACAGGUUGGGCUCCGGUUCCGCCCCAGAUGAGCCUUUUACGAUAGAUUGUAUUUAAUACUUGAAAUGUUUUACGUAAUUUAUUUUUAUAUUUGUGUUUAUUUUUGAAAUAGGCAAAACACUGAGAGUAAAGCUUUUUGUUUCACUACAGGGCUUGACUAACAAAUCCUGAGAAAUAUAGAGAGAUGUAGAGAGUUGCCUUUGUGGAUGUGGGUAUUCAUGUCCAGAAUCAAUCUGCGGGGUAUUCCAAGUACGUGGUUUAGUGACAAACCUGGGUUAGUUAACUCAGAGUAGGUGGUAAACCUCCUAAUAGAAGAACUGUAUGGCUUUAUUCUCCUAACAAAACAAUACCAUAGGGCUUUUGUUGUAGGAGGUUUACCAAGUUAACUUACCUAGGUUUAUCAUUAAACCACGUACUUGGAAUACCCCCCAGUUCUUCUAUUAGGAGUUUUACCACCUACUCUGAGUUAACUAACUCAGGUUUGUCAUUAAACCACGUACUUGGAAUACCCUCCUGGUUCAUUUCCUCAUUUACUAAAUCCAGACAGUGCAGCCACUUAAGAGCAAUCAGACUGCACAGCACAAGGAAAGAGAGGGAAAGCAGGUGGGACACAAAACACUGUAGGGUUUUGCAUAUUGACAAUACUUUUUAUGCUUGGCUUCAUACAAGGCUAAACAAUUAAAACUGUUAAUAUGUUCCUAGUUCUACAACAAAGAAACAAUUUCUUGUUCUUAUUUUUGUAAUUAUGACUACAUGACUUCAUCUCAGCACUAAAAGUGUUUUAUGAAUGUAGCAUUUUACAGUUAGAAUAUACCUCAUUUUAGGUUUUAUUUUAUCAAAAGUUUUGUCAACUCGGACAAUGUAUGUGUAUGUAUCUGUAUGUGGACAGUGGAAUCAAGCACCAGUUUGGCACUGCACACCAGCGCACUGAGAUGGAAAUAAAACUGUGACUAUAAAGACAAAAGAUGUAUUUCUUUAUUUUCUUUUUUUUUUUUAGCUCAGCCCUGAAAGUGUGGUUAUUCUUA
Molecule: long non-coding RNA, 1140 nt
Organism: Alosa sapidissima (American shad)
Lineage: Eukaryota; Metazoa; Chordata; Actinopteri; Clupeiformes; Clupeidae
Exons: 2
Source: RefSeq, a predicted model, not a curated record